RNAcentral lists this ribosomal RNA (253 nucleotides) under uncultured bacterium. Its description in RNAcentral is "partial 16S ribosomal RNA". It matches the Rfam family "Bacterial small subunit ribosomal RNA", at positions 524 to 776 of the family's 1533-position model. The record is from RNAcentral.
UACGUAGGGGGCAAGCGUUGUCCGGAUUCAUUGGGCGUAAAGAGCGUGUAGGCGGCCAGGUAGGUCGGUUGUGAAAACUGGAGGCUCAACCUUCAGAGGUCGACCGAAACCAUCUGGCUAGAGUCCGGGAGAGGAGACUGGAAUUCCUGGUGUAGCGGUGAAAUGCGCAGAUAUCAGGAGGAACACCGGUGGCGAAGGCGGGUCUCUGGGCCGUAACUGACGCUGAGGAGCGAAAGCAUGGGGAGCGAACAGG